Molecule: long non-coding RNA, 650 nt
Organism: Suricata suricatta (meerkat)
Lineage: Eukaryota; Metazoa; Chordata; Mammalia; Carnivora; Herpestidae
Exons: 2
Source: RefSeq, a predicted model, not a curated record
AGAUGUACCCUGCAAGUCAGAGGCCCCGUGAGCACGCAGCGGCGGUCCGCCCACCGGGCAGUGCCCCAGCCAGGGGAUUAUAAACAAGCAAACAAAAGUCCAAACAGGCCAGCAUGUUUGGCAAAAUCCUGCCCCAAAUGAUAACUACACUGCAACCACAUCACCUCCAUGUCUGGAAGAGUUGGAUAUAACGUAGCCUAAACUCCACUUGUGAGAACUAUCUCCCUGUCCUUUUCUCUGUCCCGGACUGCGUCAGCCCCACCAGGCACCUCUGGUGCCCCAGUGCUGGCCGCCGGGCCUCCGCCUGGAGACCGCAAGACCUCCUGACGUGACAUGAAGCUCAAGAUUUCUCUGCAUCAUAAUCUAUUCCUGCAAAUGUCGUUCCCAGCAAGGAGUCCGGUAAGACCACAACUUCAGGGCGUGUUGCUGGGACCGCGGAAUGAGCUCCUAACCCUGGGAAAGCCUGCGUUCUAAGUAGUUGUCACAUCAUCACUGCUACCCGGGAAGCAUCUGCGGUGGCUCCUGCUUGCCGGAAGGCAUACAUUCCUCCACGUCUGCUUUGUAACUGCUCAUUGCUUCUCACAGUCAAGAAGGUACAAUAAAAACUAUGGCUCCUGGAUUUUUAUUGAUUCUUGGAGCUUUUUACUUAA